This 55-nucleotide transfer RNA is filed under the name Cucujoidea sp. 1 KM-2017. RNAcentral's name for it is "tRNA-Ser". Lineage: Eukaryota; Metazoa; Arthropoda; Insecta; Coleoptera. The record is from RNAcentral.
GAAAUAUAAUAAAUUAAGCUUCUAACUUAAUUACCAGCUAUAAGUUGAUAUUUCU